GUGAGAAUGCUGAUAAAUACACAAGAAGAAAAUGCAAAUAAGGUCACAUGUUCCUCAGAGAGAUCUCUAGAGAUUAUCCAGACACCCAAACCAUGUCCUCAUUAUAUAAUAUAACAGCAGCAGUCCAUCUACUAUUCAGUUUUUGGAUGAUUCUACUGGAAAAUGCUUACCAGAACGGUUUAUGAAUGUUUUGAAUGAGAAUAAAAUAAAGCUUCAGGACUGCAGUGACCAGAGCUAUGACAACAGUGCGAAUAUAAAAGCAAGAAACAGUGGCAUACAGGCAAGGAUCCUUGCGCUGAAUCUAAGAGCUUUCUUCGUGCCUUGUGGCUGCCAUUCCCUCUACCCGAUUGUGUCAGAUGCAGCGUCGUCAUCUUCAGAUUCAGUAUCUCUCUUCAGAGUACUGCAAAGGAUCUACAUCCUGUUUUCAGCAUCAAUCAUCAGGUGAAAGAUCCUCAUGGACAAUGUUACAAAUCUGCCAACAAAGCCACUAAGUGACACUCGCUGGGAGAGGCUCGUUUACAGCAUAAGGCCAGUGAGGUUCUAAGUGACUGAGGUUUACGAUGCUUUGAUGGAACUGGUACAGUUGAGUAAAGUGAAGGCCAGAAUAUGACACAAGGUGCAAGGUCUGGCAAACAAGAUAAUUGAAUUCAAAUUUCUGGUCUCAACUGUGGUUUGGCACGAUAUCCUGUUCCAAGUAAAUGUUGUAAGCAAAGCAUUAAAAAUCCCAGUCAAUGGACAUUGCGACUGCUAUAAAUUUUGAUGAGAAGCUGCCUAGAUUUCACUGUGGCCUACAGAAACAACAGAUUUGAAGAUGCCAUUGCUGCUGACAAAGAAAUGAUGGAAAACUUAAGAGCUGAGUCUGUCUUCAAGGAAACUCAUAUUCAGAAGAAGAAGAGACGGUUUGGUUACAAGUGCAGAGAUGAGGUGAUGGGAAGCUCGGAGGAGAAAUUCAAGAGUGAGAUUUUUUGCUUGCUUAUUACACUGCUCGAGUGUCCAUUGAAGAAAGGUUUGGUCAAAUGAAGCACCAUGGAAAUACCCUGGGGGGGUUGGAUGAUCUUAGUAAGCUGCCAGUGGAUGGGAAAACCUUCUUGAAAAAUUGAAGGACCUUCACAGAUGCUGGCACAUGGGGAAUGUUCAGAUAUCAAUGAUAAAGACUCUGUGUCGAAUUGGACAACAUCUGUGACAUUUUGCCACACGUGAAUAACUUUCCACUCCAAGUUCUCCAGUUCAUUCAUUGGAGAGCUAAAGGAUACUUUUCCUAAUGUGUGGAUAGCUUUGAGGAUUCUGCUCAUGCUGCCUGUCACAGUUGCGAGUGGUGAGCGCAGCUUUCUGAAGCUCAAGCUCAUUAAAACAUAUUUUUGAUUGAUGAUAGCCAAUGAGAGACAGACAUCAUAUGCAAUUUUACCACUUGAAAUUGACAUUGGCCAGUGUUUGGAUCUCUCUGACACUGUGCUUCAGUUUACGAGGGCAAAAGCAAGAAAAGCGACUUUCUGAAUUAAAGGACUAUGGAAUUAUCCUAUAACCACAAGGAACAUAGAAGGAGGCAGCAAAAAAUUUCACACCAAAAAGGUUCAGACAGAGACUUCCUGUGUGACCUUGGGCAAGUCACCUAUUCUACCUUGUGCUUCAGUUUCCCAUCUGUAAAAUGGAGAAAAUACUUCCUUCUCUUACAGGGAUGUUGUGAGGAUGACAUACAUGAAUGAUUGAGGGCGAGGUGCUACAACUCUAAGAACAGCUGAGAGCAAAGAUUUCCAGAAGCAGGAACCUAACUUCAUACCGAGGCAUCUACAUGCAUGGCCUGAUUUUCAAAAAUGCUGAACACCCAACAGUUCUUCUGCAAGUUAAUGAAAAUGUACACCACACUCCACACCAUACACUACUUAAUCACCAUUGAAUGACCAAGUCCCAAAAUCUCAAUCCAGCAGCCCUUGAUUAGGGCUAAAUUAUACCCCCUGUACAAAAUAUCCAUGGAGGGGAAUGAAAAAUUCCACUAGUUUCAUCUUGAAGAGUUUCUGACAAAUCACCCUGGGGGAGGUGAGAUUCAUUCUCCCUCAUCUCCCAUGGAACAAGCAAGAAAAAUGCACUCACAAGAUAGCUGGGAGUGCUAGUUACUCCCUAACCCUAGAGAAAUACCAUGGGGCUGCCAGAAAAUGAGUGAAUUCUUUUCCAGGUAUAUGACUAGUAGGUCUUGACCACAUGCUCAGCAUUUAACUGAUUGCAAUAUUUGGGGUCGGAAAGGAAUUUUCCCCCAGCUCAGAGACCUUGUUUUUUGUUUUUUGCUUUCCUCUGCAG
Molecule: long non-coding RNA, 2292 nt
Organism: Gopherus evgoodei (Goodes thornscrub tortoise)
Lineage: Eukaryota; Metazoa; Chordata; Testudines; Testudinidae
Exons: 4
Source: RefSeq, a predicted model, not a curated record